RNAcentral lists this ribosomal RNA (253 nucleotides) under uncultured bacterium. Its description in RNAcentral is "partial 16S ribosomal RNA". It matches the Rfam family "Bacterial small subunit ribosomal RNA", at positions 524 to 776 of the family's 1533-position model. The record is from RNAcentral.
UACGGGGGGGGCAAGCGUUGUUCGGAAUUACUGGGCGUAAAGGGCGCGUAGGCGGUUCGCUAAGUUGGAUGUGAAAACUCUGGGCUCAACCCAGAGCCUGCAUCCAAAACUGGCGGGCUAGAGUUCUGGAGGGGGUAGCGGAAUUCCUGGUGUAGCGGUGAAAUGCGUAGAUAUCAGGAGGAACACCUGUGGUGUAGACGGCUCUCUGGACAGUAACUGACGCUGAGACACGAAAGCGUGGGUAGCAAACAGG